This 1026-nucleotide ribosomal RNA is filed under the name Demequina lignilytica. Its description in RNAcentral is "bacterial SSU rRNA". It matches the Rfam family "Bacterial small subunit ribosomal RNA", at positions 85 to 1126 of the family's 1533-position model. Lineage: Bacteria; Bacillati; Actinomycetota; Actinomycetes; Micrococcales; Demequinaceae. The record is from RNAcentral.
CUUCUGAUCAGUGGCGAACGGGUGAGUAACACGUGAGUAACCUGCCCCAGACUCUGGGAUAAGCCUUGGAAACGAGGUCUAAUACCGGAUACGCGACUCCACCGCAUGGUGAGGGUUGGGAAAGUUUUUCGGUCUGGGAUGGACUCGCGGCCUAUCAGCUUGUUGGUGAGGUAAUGGCUCACCAAGGCGACGACGGGUAGCCGGCCUGAGAGGGCGACCGGCCACACUGGAACUGAGACACGGUCCAGACUCCUACGGGAGGCAGCAGUGGGGAAUAUUGCACAAUGGGCGAAAGCCUGAUGCAGCGACGCCGCGUGGGGGAUGAAGGCCUUCGGGUUGUAAACCCCUUUCAGCAGGGAAGAAGCGAAAGUGACGGUACCUGCAGAAGAAGCGCCGGCUAACUACGUGCCAGCAGCCGCGGUAAUACGUAGGGCGCAAGCGUUGUCCGGAAUUAUUGGGCGUAAAGAGCUCGUAGGCGGUUCGUCGCGUCUGCUGUGAAAACCCGAGGCUCAACCUCGGGCCUGCAGUGGGUACGGGCGGACUAGAGUGUGGUAGGGGAGACUGGAAUUCCUGGUGUAGCGGUGGAAUGCGCAGAUAUCAGGAGGAACACCGAUGGCGAAGGCAGGUCUCUGGGCCACAACUGACGCUGAGGAGCGAAAGCGUGGGGAGCGAACAGGAUUAGAUACCCUGGUAGUCCACGCCGUAAACGGUGGGCACUAGAUGUGGGGCUUAUUCCAUGAGUUCCGCGUCGCAGCUAACGCAUUAAGUGCCCCGCCUGGGGAGUACGGCCGCAAGGCUAAAACUCAAAGGAAUUGACGGGGGCCCGCACAAGCGGCGGAGCAUGCGGAUUAAUUCGAUGCAACGCGAAGAACCUUACCAAGGCUUGACAUAUACCCUCUACCCCCAGAGAUGGGGGGUGCUUCGGCGGGGUAUACAGGUGGUGCAUGGUUGUCGUCAGCUCGUGUCGUGAGAUGUUGGGUUAAGUCCCGCAACGAGCGCAACCCUCGUCCUAUGUUGCCAGCACGU